AGUACGACCGAAAAUACSAAGAGGCUUUAGAUCACCACCGCAGGUGGGGAGGUUCUCGGCGUCCUUUCCUCAGAUUUCGRCCCGUGGUUGCGGUGCACACCUUAASACCAACUUCCGUCCCAUUUUUGAUUGGGAUGAUAGGGACCAGAAUUUGUGACACCCCGGCACAAAUGCCCUCRAGGAAAAGGCUUGGGGCGCAACUUGCGUUCCCACACCCGAUGGUUCGCGGGAUUCGGCGCUUCACACCARAUAUCGCAUUUCAAUAMCUUCUUCAUCGAUGCGAGAGCCGAYAUAUCCGUUGCCGAAAGUCRUUUUARACUUUAAAUUGGUGUGCAUUGCCCGCACMCGCACCGUGACCGGUCAUGCAAAGGCUGUUUGUCCCAUUGCCUGUUCCUUGACACUUUUCCUGCCKGGGUUUUGUGAAAUCCCGACCCACCCC
This 439-nucleotide unclassified non-coding RNA is filed under the name Rorippa islandica. RNAcentral describes it as "sequence contains ITS1, 5.8S rRNA gene and ITS2". The record is from RNAcentral. Lineage: Eukaryota; Viridiplantae; Streptophyta; Magnoliopsida; Brassicales; Brassicaceae.